Molecule: long non-coding RNA, 466 nt
Organism: Hemibagrus wyckioides
Lineage: Eukaryota; Metazoa; Chordata; Actinopteri; Siluriformes; Bagridae
Exons: 3
Source: RefSeq, a predicted model, not a curated record
GCAGACUUGCCACCACAUUUCUGGAGGUUACACCGAGAUCGCUCAUCUGAGGUUACUUCGUCGAACCACGCAAUUGACUACUGGUGGGGAGAGAUCUGGACAAUCACGAGACUGCCCCAGCAACGGGAUCUGGAAUUAGGUGCGGACUUUGAGGAAAGCCAUUGCCGGUGCUGACAAGCACAGCUGAGUGACCUGCACAGAUAAAAUCAAGCUAAAAGAGACAGAUUUUCACCACAAUUUUAUGGCACCCCAGAUGGGACCUCGCGACUGAGUGGCAGAAGAAUCUAGGAAAGCUCACUGCGCAGCACCUUGAAGGCUUUACUUCAUCUGAAGCACAGAUUUGGCUUUUAGUGUGACGGGACCUGGGUUUACCAUGCUGUUCAAUGCAGAGGUCAUCUAAAUUCAUUUCAGUAAGUAGUUGAAAAAUGUUUAUAAAUUAUACAAAAUAGGCUUGGAUUUUGUCAUG